GGUGUGUGUGAGUUGAUAUUUUUUUUCUGCUUCUUUCUUUGAUUUUUUUCUUUUUCAUUUUAUUUUUCUUCAUCUUUUCUGCUCAGCCGUGUGUUCGCCGUUUCUCUUUCCCUUUCGGUUGUCUAUCGGGUUUCGGGCGGCUUGUAUGUGUCUCUGACUCUGUUCAACUAAUGUUUUAUACAAAACUUUAUUAGCGUGCACACGUUUGAAAAUUUUAUAUACAGUAUGUGCGAUGAAAAUUCCAAUUCAGCAAAAUCAGCGCGAUUUAAAUCAGUUCAUUUUUGAUCAUUGACUGAAUAACAUGCGAAUGAACAUUUUUCAUGUAAAUUGUGCAGUGAAUUACGAAUUGAGUGCUAUUUUAUUGGAAUCCGUUGGACCGUCUCUCGGCACAUAGAAGAAAAUAAAAUGUAUUAAAAGAAACGAAAUCAAAGUCAACACUCAAUUUUUUUUUCAUGUUGUUUUUAUGUGGGUGUGUGUGUGUGUUUUUUUUACUUUCGGUAUGCGUCCGCAUCAAAUAAAUAAAUAGAAAUUGAAACUGACAGACGUGGACGCCGAAUAGAAAGGAGUAAAAUCACCAAAAUAAAACAAAAGCCAAAUAUACAUGCGCAUGUUGAAAAUCAAAUUUGCCGUUUCCAAUCCGACAUCACUGAGCCGAGAGAGGGCAAGAGUAUUGACGAAACAACAACAUCAACAGCAGCAGCAGCAGCAGCCGCAGCAGCAACCACACAAUUCAAAACAUGAAAAAUCCGAAAUUAUUACCGCCCAAUAUAACAACACGGGUGCUGUUGGUGUUUCCAAAAAAUGAUGAUGUUUGCGAUAUUCUUCAAGAUGCGUGCAGUCGACUCGAAAUGGACACAUUUCUAUCACUAACAUUACCCGAAGCAAUUGAAUCGUUUCAAAAUAUUACGAAUGGUGGACAUAAUUUGAUUAUCGUUGACGGUCGGCUACCACAGAUUCUUGAUCCAGAAACUGUAGCUCG
Sitodiplosis mosellana (orange wheat blossom midge) is the source of this 979-nucleotide long non-coding RNA. RefSeq lists it as uncharacterized. Lineage: Eukaryota; Metazoa; Arthropoda; Insecta; Diptera; Cecidomyiidae. The transcript has 3 exons. The record is from RefSeq and is a predicted model, not a curated record.